RNAcentral lists this ribosomal RNA (772 nucleotides) under uncultured Neocallimastigales. RNAcentral describes it as "partial large subunit ribosomal RNA". It matches the Rfam family "Eukaryotic large subunit ribosomal RNA", at positions 24 to 640 of the family's 3401-position model. Lineage: Eukaryota; Fungi; Neocallimastigomycota; Neocallimastigomycetes; Neocallimastigales. The record is from RNAcentral.
UUCUCUGUAGAGUCUGCAUAUCAAUAAGCGGAGGAAAAGAAACUAACAAGGAUUCCCUAGUAACGGCGAGUGAAGCGGGAAGAGCUCAAAUUUGAAAUCUUCAAGGUUUUACCUUGACGAAUUGUAGUUUAAAGAAGUGUUUUCUGUUAGAGAGUUGGUAAAAGUUCUUUGGAAUAGGACAUCAUAGAGGGUGAGAAUCCCGUAUUUGACCAUUCUUUCUAGCUUUGUGAUACACUUUCAAAGAGUCGGAUUGUUUGGGAAUGCAGUCCAAAAUGGGUGGUAAAUUUCAUCUAAAGCUAAAUAUUGGCGAGAGACCGAUAGCGAACAAGUACCGUGAGGGAAAGAUGAAAAGAACUUUGAAAAGAGAGUUAAACAGUACGUGAAAUUGUCAAAAGGGAAGCGUUUGACACCAGUGUUGUUUUUCCGAAAAUCAAUUAAAAAUGGAUUCAUGCUAAGUUGUAUUGACCUUAUCAGCUUGCAAUUUAGUUUUGGGUUUCUUUUUGAUGCACUUUUCGGUUAACAAGUCAACAUCAAUUUCCUUUGCUGUAAAAAGGCAGGAGGAAGGUGGCUUCAAUUUCGGUUGAAGUGUUUAUAGCCUUCUGUCUCUGCAGUCGGGGAGAUUGAGGUCUGCAGCGUAGAUCCUUCGGGGCUAGAUACAUUCGUGCUAAGUUAUAGCCUUUUAUAGACAACUUGUUGACUAUGAUUGGUCUUGUAAUUUACUCGCGAGUGCUAUUUUACCUACGCUUAGGAUGUUGAUCUACAGAGCGAGAGU